AUACGGAGGGUGCAAGCGUUGUUCGGAAUUACUGGGCGUAAAGCGCGCGUAGGCGGUCUGUUAUGUCAGAUGUGAAAGUCCUCUGCUCAACCGGGGAAGUGCAUUUGAAACUGGCAGACUUGAGUACUGGAGGGGGUAGUGGAAUUCCCGGUGUAGAGGUGAAAUUCGUAGAUAUCGGGAGGAAUACCGGUGGCGAAGGCGACUACCUGGCCAGAUACUGACACUGAGGUGCGAAAGCGUGGGGAGCGAACAGGAUUAGAAACCCCAGUAGUCC
RNAcentral lists this ribosomal RNA (274 nucleotides) under uncultured bacterium. Its description in RNAcentral is "partial 16S ribosomal RNA". It matches the Rfam family "Bacterial small subunit ribosomal RNA", at positions 523 to 796 of the family's 1533-position model. The record is from RNAcentral.